AGGGGUGUAGGUCAGUUGGUAGAAUGCUCGCUGAGCAUGCUUGAAGCCUUGGGCUCAAUACCCAGCAGCCCUA
RNAcentral lists this transfer RNA (73 nucleotides) under Mus musculus (house mouse). RNAcentral describes it as "tRNA-Ala". The record is from RNAcentral. Lineage: Eukaryota; Metazoa; Chordata; Mammalia; Rodentia; Muridae.